GAAGUGCGAUAAGCAGUGCGAAUUGCAGAACCGUGAGUCAUCAGAUCUUUGAACGCAAAUGGCGCUAGUUGGUUACCCAGCUAGCAUGCUUGUUUCAGUGUCUUGUUUUCUCCUCACCCAAAACUUAAUGCGAGAGAUACCCUUCUCUUGUCAAGCAUGAAAGCACUCUUCUUCUGCGAGCGGCUCUUGACUAGCUCAAGGGUCGCACUCGAUGCAGACGUCACAUUUUACAAUGUGAACUCAUUGAGAGCAGAAGCAGUCAGCUAACGCUGUCAGUGCUUAGCCACUUAAACUUUAUUUGCAUCUGAAAUCAAGCAGGAUCACCCGCUGAACUUAA
This 337-nucleotide unclassified non-coding RNA is filed under the name uncultured fungus. RNAcentral's name for it is "sequence contains ITS1". The stretch from base 1 to 103 matches the Rfam family "5.8S ribosomal RNA", at positions 50 to 154 of the family's 154-position model. The record is from RNAcentral. Lineage: Eukaryota; Fungi.